AGUAACCUGCCUUGGAGUGGGGAAUAACACAGUGAAAACUGUGCUAAUACCGCAUAAUGCAUUUGGGUCGCAUGAUUCUGAAUGCCAAAGAUUUAUCGCUCUGAGAUGGACUCGCGUCUGAUUAGCUAGUUGGCGGGGUAACGGCCCACCAAGGCGACGAUCAGUAGCCGGACUGAGAGGUUGGCUGGCCACAUUGGGACUGAGACACGGCCCAG
Molecule: ribosomal RNA, 215 nt
Filed under: uncultured bacterium
Lineage: Bacteria
Description: partial 16S ribosomal RNA
Rfam family: Bacterial small subunit ribosomal RNA
Source: RNAcentral